CAGGUGUUGUGGCGCACACCUGUAAUCCCAGCUACUCAGGAGCCUGAGGUGGGAGGACUGUUUGAGCCCAGAGAGGCCAAGUCUGCAGUGAGCCAUGACUGUGCCACUGCAUUCCAGCCUGGGUGACACAGCGAGACCCUGUCUCAAAAAAAAAAAAAACCAAAAACUGAAUUCACUCAACAGUGUACGCCAGGCCAGAUGAGAAGGAUGAGAAGAUGGACAGCUCAUCUUCACUGGAGGUAGAACAGAGAACAACCAUGAACAACAGCCUUUGGAACAUGUGCCUGAGUGAGGGUAUUUCCGGGAGGGUCUGGCCCAACUGGGUGCUUCCUUUCCCAUCUCUGCCCCUGAAGAUCCCCUUAGUCUUCCUGCCUCCUUCUGCUUCUCUUGCCCUUUCUUAAGUUCUUCUGAUCUCUUCAUUCUCUUUACAAUUGAAAAGCUAUUAAAAUCUACCAGUAAGCAAGAUAUUUCAGAAUUCUCCAUAACCCAUCACUCAUAGUCCUUAAUCUUUAUGAUUAAGUCACUUAAUCUUUAUGAGGAGAACUUGAAAAACCUAUUUAUUCACACUCUUCAGGAGGAAUGAAGAGACAGAAAACAAAAACACGGAAGUAGAGAUUUCUCUGACUAGUUGGAUAUAAGCUUUUAUUGAGUUUUACAAAAAAGGUAUCUUUCCCAUCUCUGCCUUCUUUCAGUGCCAUGUCAACACCCCCUCAUUUAAAAAUGUGAUAAACUUUAAAUAAGACAAUUAGAAAAAAAUGACAAUAUUACAAAUGGUAAAAACUUAUGAUACUUCAUAUACACAUGACAGACACUGGAUAGUAUGUUUCUAUAUUUAAAAUUAUAUACAUAUAUAAUUAUAUGUUAUAUGUCCAAGUUAAUCAUAUAUAUGUAUGUUCCAGGUAUCCUGGACUCAAACUGAUGUAUAUGGCAGGAAUGUAAAGCUGAAAUAUAUAAACGGUUCUUUUAUAUCAUUUUUCUUCCCACUGCAAAUUCUAGUAGUUAAAUGUUACAUUAACUCAUUCAAUGCCAGGAUUAAAUCAUUGGAUGUCAUAGAAACAAUGUAUGAUUCUGGACAGGAUCCUUUUGCUAUAUAAAAGCAGUCCCCAACCUUUGUGGCACCAGGGACCAGGUACCGGUUUCAUGGAAGUUUUUCCACAGACCAGAUGGUGAGGAAUGGGGGAUCAUCAGGCUUUAGAUUCUCAUAAGGAGUGCACAACCUAGAUCCCUUGCAUGGGCAGUUCACAAUAGGGUUCACACUCACAUGAGAAUCUAAUGCCGCUGCUGAUCUGGCCGGAGGCAGAGCUUAAGCAGUAAUGUGAGCAAUGGGGAGUGACCAUAAAUACAGAAGAAGCUUCUUAACUGGUACCCAGGGGUUGGGGAAACCUGCUAUAUAAGACAUUUCUUGGGCAGCUAAUGAACCUUGACUGGAAUCUGUGGAUUAGUGGCAGUAAUGUAUCAAUGUUAAUUUCCUGAUUUUUAUGGUUGUAAUUAUGUGGUUAUUUCUCAUUUGAGGAAAUAAAGGGUGAGCUGGUAUCAUGUCAACAACUUCUGGGAAAAAAUUUCUUUGUAGUGUUUUUAUAACUUUUCUGUAUGCUUAAGGUUUUUUCCAAAUAAAAAGCUUUUUGAAAACCAAAAUAGGCUGAGAACAGUGGCUCAUGCUUGUCCCAGCACUUUGGGAGGCUGAGGCAGGCAGAUCGCUUGAGCCCAGGAGACAGAGAUUGCCAAGAUGGCGCCACUGCACUCCAGCCUGGGUGAGAUAGUGAGACCCUGUCUCAAAACAAAAACAAAAGCAAAAAAAAAAAAAAAAAAACCCACAAAAACCAGAACCCAAAUAGUGAAGAGGUAUAAAGACUUAAAAGUUCUUGUGUUUUCCAUGAACUACCUCAGUACAUUUUUGGAACUAUCAAAUAAGAAAUUCUUUUUUUCCCGGGCCAGUCGUGGUGGCUCAUGCCUAUAAUCCCAGCACUUUGGGUGGCCGAGGCCGGUGUAUCACCUGAGGUCAGGAGUUCAAGAGCAGCCUGG
RNAcentral lists this long non-coding RNA (2022 nucleotides) under Homo sapiens (human). Its description in RNAcentral is "HSALNT0201599". Lineage: Eukaryota; Metazoa; Chordata; Mammalia; Primates; Hominidae. The record is from RNAcentral.